GCAGUCGAACGAUGAUGCCCAGCUUGCUGGGUGGAUUAGUGGCGAACGGGUGAGUAACACGUGAGUAACCUGCCCCUGACUCUGGGAUAAGCGUUGGAAACGACGUCUAAUACUGGAUAUGAUCACCGGCCGCAUGGUCUGGUGGUGGAAAGAUUUUUUGGUUGGGGAUGGACUCGCGGCCUAUCAGCUUGUUGGUGAGGUAAUGGCUCACCAAGGCGACGACGGGUAGCCGGCCUGAGAGGGUGACCGGCCACACUGGGACUGAGACACGGCCCAGACUCCUACGGGAGGCAGCAGUGGGGAAUAUUGCACAAUGGGCGAAAGCCUGAUGCAGCAACGCCGCGUGAGGGAUGACGGCCUUCGGGUUGUAAACCUCUUUUAGUAGGGAAGAAGCGAAAGUGACGGUACCUGCAGAAAAAGCACCGGCUAACUACGUGCCAGCAGCCGCGGUAAUACGUAGGGUGCAAGCGUUGUCCGGAAUUAUUGGGCGUAAAGAGCUCGUAGGCGGUUUGUCGCGUCUGCUGUGAAAUCCCGAGGCUCAACCUCGGGCUUGCAGUGGGUACGGGCAGACUAGAGUGCGGUAGGGGAGAUUGGAAUUCCUGGUGUAGCGGUGGAAUGCGCAGAUAUCAGGAGGAACACCGAUGGCGAAGGCAGAUCUCUGGGCCGUAACUGACGCUGAGGAGCGAAAGCAUGGGGAGCGAACAGGAUUAGAUACCCUGGUAGUCCAUGCCGUAAACGUUGGGCGCUAGAUGUAGGGACCUUUCCACGGUUUCUGUGUCGUAGCUAACGCAUUAAGCGCCCCGCCUGGGGAGUACGGCCGCAAGGCUAAAACUCAAAGGAAUUGACGGGGGCCCGCACAAGCGGCGGAGCAUGCGGAUUAAUUCGAUGCAACGCGAAGAACCUUACCAAGGCUUGACAUACACCGGAAACGGCCAGAGAUGGUCGCCCCCUUGUGGUCGGUGUACAGGUGGUGCAUGGUUGUCGUCAGCUCGUGUCGUGAGAUGUUGGGUUAAGUCCCGCAACGAGCGCAACCCUCGUUCUAUGUUGCCAGCGGGUUAUGCCGGGGACUCAUAGGAGACUGCCGGGGUCAACUCGGAGGAAGGUGGGGAUGACGUCAAAUCAUCAUGCCCCUUAUGUCUUGGGCUUCACGCAUGCUACAAUGGCCGGUACAAAGGGCUGCGAUACCGUAAGGUGGAGCGAAUCCCAAAAAGCCGGUCUCAGUUCGGAUUGAGGUCUGCAACUCGACCUCAUGAAGUCGGAGUCGCUAGUAAUCGCAGAUCAGCAACGCUGCGGUGAAUACGUUCCCGGGCCUUGUACACACCGCCCGUCAAGUCAUGAAAGUCGGUAACACCCGAAGCCGGUGGCCUAAC
RNAcentral lists this ribosomal RNA (1370 nucleotides) under Curtobacterium herbarum. RNAcentral describes it as "bacterial SSU rRNA". It matches the Rfam family "Bacterial small subunit ribosomal RNA". The record is from RNAcentral. Lineage: Bacteria; Bacillati; Actinomycetota; Actinomycetes; Micrococcales; Microbacteriaceae. RNAcentral also lists the same sequence under 1 other name.